GCCAUGGCCAUGGCGGGAGGUAGUUGAGGCGGUAGUGUAAGUUUUGUUUUUUUGAGGGGUGGGAGGUAGGAAGGGAUGGGUGGCAGGGGUAAAAUGGCUUGGGAAGAGCUUCCUGCUGAUUUGAGUUUGAGUGUGAGGUUGUUGGAGUGGCGUGAAAUGUGUAGGACUACCCUGAAAGAUCUCAUGACCGGACCAUGUACAGGAGGACCACCCCCUGGAAAGGACGAUCUGAAGGAUCAAACGACCAGACCAUCUUCAGGAGGACCACCCCCUGGAGGACGAUCCGGAGGACGACCUGAUGGAUCCCUCGACUGAAUCAUCUACAGGAGGACCACCCCCUAGAGAGGAUGAUCCGAAGGAUCCAAUGAUCGGACCAUCUUCAGGAGGACUAUCCCCUGGAGGACGACCCGAUGAAUCUCACGACCGGACCAUUUACAGGAGGUAUUUGUGAAAUAUGUUUAUUCAGUAAAAUUGGAAAAAUACAUACUCUUGGGACUGAGUUCGAUGCAAAAGUUUUAUUUUUGCGCUAAGAUGAACAAACAAUUGGUAAAAUGUAGUUAUUGACAGAUUUUUAAAAAUAUCCUCCUUUCUUUUUAAACCAUAAGUAAACAAUAUUAUGGCGACUCUAUUUUGUUUUCAUAAACAAAAGAAAGUGUGUAGAUGAAAGUGGAUAUUCUUAAUUAUAUAUAUCUUCAUUACCAGGACCACCCCCAGGAGAGGAGGUCGACCUGAAAGAUCCUAUAACCGGACCAUCUUCAGAAGGUAUUUAAAAAAGUCAACUCUUGGAACGUUAUUUGUUUCAUUAUUUCAGUUAUUUAAACGGGAUACCUAGCCGUGCUGGUUGGGUUCCGUUAAAUUAAGUUUUAUUUUUGCACUUAAAUGGAAAGAGAAAAUGAUUUAAUAUAUUUCUUUCCUUUUAAAUCAGUAGUAUAAACGUUUUUAUGGCAACUCUUUAUUUUCUGAAAUAGAAAGAAAAAAAACUAGAUGAAAGGAGAUAUUCUUAACACACAUCUUCAUCACCAGGACCUCCACCUGGAGAGGAGGACGACCCCUGGGAUCCCACGACUGGACCAUCUUCAGCAGGUAUUUGUCAUUGAAAUAUCUUUUGGAACAUUAUUUCCCCAUUUUUUUCUAUAAAAUUAGAAAAAGUACCUAUUUGUGGUAGUGAGUCCAAUGUAAAAGAUUUAUUUUUGCACUUUGGUGAAAAAUAAAAAUGUGAAAAUGUAUUUACCUACAGAUUUAUAUAAAUGAGCUCCUUUCCUUUUAAACCAAAAUAAACAAUACUGUUGCGAUUCUUUGUUCUCUAAAACAAAAGAACAGUGUUUAGAUUCAAGUGGACACUUUUAAUUGACACGUCUUCAUCACCAGGUCCACCCCUUGGAGAGGACGACCUGAAGGAUCCUAAGACCAGACCAUCUUCCGAAGGUAAUUGUCAUUGGAAUAUCUCUUUGAACAUUAUUUGUCCAUUUCUUCAUCACUAAUUUUAGUACCAUUAGAAAAAUGUAUAUUCGUAUAAUUUCAUUCAAGGUAAGUUUUAUUUUUGCACUUUGGUGAAAAAUGUAAAUGGUAAAACAUAUGUACUAACAGAUUUUUGUAAAAUUUCUUCUUAAACAAACACAUUUUCAUCACCAGGACCACUCCCUGGAAGACGAUCCGGAGGACGACCUGAUGGAUCCCACGACCGGACCAUCGACAGGAGGUAUUUGUCUGUGAAAUAUGUCUUGAAACAUUAUUUAUUAUUUCAAUAACAUUUGUAAAAUACCCACUGGUUCAAUGCAAAAGUUACAUUUUUGCACUUAGGUGAAAAAAGAAAGUAAAACGUAUUUACUGACAAAUUUUUAUAGAUAUCCCCCUUCCCUUUUAAACCAUAAGUAAAAAACAUUAUAGCGAUUCUUUUUGUUUUCUAAAACAACAAAAAAAAUUUGUGUAGAUGAAAGUUGAUACUUUUAAUAAACACACGUGUUCAUCACCAGGACAACCCCCUGGAGAGGAGGAUGACCUGACGAUCCUACGAUCGGACCAUCAUCAGGAGGACGUACGUCUGGAGUGGAGGAUGACCCACAAGAUCCCAGGACCGGACCAUCUUUAGGGCCUCCACCUGAAGAGGAGGGCAACCCGGAGGACUACCCCGGAAGAUCCCACAACCGGACCAUCUUCAGGAGACGGCCGGAACUUUGGUGACAUCAGACGGUCUCUUCACUUUUCUGGUCCAACAAGUAUCAUAAUGGUCUGUGGCUACGUUUUCCACAUAUCACACUCAGGCUUAAAUUGAUGCAGUGGGGCAGUAGAGAUAUCCAGAUAGGUUGAUAGGGAGCUAGGUGGUUAGGCUAGGUUCAGAGUAGGAUUUCGUAG
RNAcentral lists this unclassified non-coding RNA (2352 nucleotides) under Aplysia californica (California sea hare). Its description in RNAcentral is "basic salivary proline-rich protein 4, transcript variant X2". Lineage: Eukaryota; Metazoa; Mollusca; Gastropoda; Aplysiida; Aplysiidae. The record is from RNAcentral.